RNAcentral lists this long non-coding RNA (349 nucleotides) under Marmota monax (woodchuck). The record is from RNAcentral. Lineage: Eukaryota; Metazoa; Chordata; Mammalia; Rodentia; Sciuridae.
UGUAGUUUGACAUAUUAUACAUACAUGGAGAAUAACUUCUUCUAAUUCGGAUCCCUUCUGAGGUUGUGCAUGAUGUAGAGUUUCACUAGUCGUGUAUUCAUACAUAUGAACAUGGAAAAAUCAUGUCUGAUUCCUUCUAUUGUCUUUCCCAUUACCAUCCCCCUCCCUUCCCUUCAUUCUCUUUUGAUCCAAUGGACUUCUAUUUCUUCCCCUCCCCACUCUCCCUUGGUGUGGAUUAGCAUCCACAGAUCAGAGAGAACAUUUGGCCUUUGGUUUGGGGGCACUGGCUUAGAGAGUUUGUAUUAUAUGCCCCACUCUGCAACUCAAGACACUGAGGCGAUUACAGAGG